ACCACAAACGUGAAUAAUUCCAUGUGGACAGGAGCGGGGAAACCACCGCGGACCUCUAUUAAGCCAGAGUUUCGCAACGGGCAUCCGCCCUCGGGGUGAAGCCACAAACGUGGCCGGGCACAGUGAUCCUCCGCCCGAACCCGACAGCUCACUUCGCAGGCGUCAAUAUGAGAGGAACA
This 179-nucleotide small RNA is filed under the name Corynebacterium testudinoris. RNAcentral's name for it is "c-di-AMP sequence". It matches the Rfam family "c-di-AMP riboswitch aptamer (ydaO/yuaA leader)". From Rfam's summary of the family: This family represents a conserved RNA structure found upstream of the ydaO and yuaA genes in Bacillus subtilis and related genes in other bacteria. The ydaO/yuaA element is thought to act as a genetic "off" switch for the ydaO and yuaA genes in its native state. The record is from Rfam by way of RNAcentral. Lineage: Bacteria; Bacillati; Actinomycetota; Actinomycetes; Mycobacteriales; Corynebacteriaceae.